Long non-coding RNA from Saccostrea cuccullata (small rock oyster), 308 nucleotides. RefSeq lists it as uncharacterized. NCBI's taxonomy places the organism in Eukaryota, Metazoa, Mollusca, Bivalvia, Ostreida, Ostreidae. The record is from RefSeq and is a predicted model, not a curated record. The transcript is spliced from 3 exons.
UGUAUUAUGAACACUUCACUAUUACUCUUGUUAUAUACAUUUAUUUUGGAUGCCAGAGGAACAAAAGCGCUAUCCUGCUCAAGUGGAUUACAUCAAAAAUGUCAAUUUACUUCAACAAGCAAUUCAACAUUGCAUUGCGAAUGCGUUCCAUUAACUGCUGACUGGACUCCUUGGGGUUCCUGGUCUCUCUGCAGUGUAACGUGUGGUGAGGGAAAUCACACGAGACAAAGGAGCUGUGUAGGUCCACAUGGAGCUGCUUGUCAUGGAAAUUCAACAGAUGUACAGCCAUGUACAGAAAUGAAAGUGUG